AGUGAACGCUAGCGGAAUGCUUUAUACAUGCAAGUCGAACGGAGUUUUAUUAUGAAGUAGCAAUAUGGAAUAGUAAAACUUAGUGGCGAACUGGCGAGUAAUAGUUAGGAACUUACCGAGUAGUGGGGGACAACAGUUAGAAAUGACUGCUAAUACCGCAUACGCCCGAGAGGGGAAAGAUUUAUCGCUAUUUGAGAGGCCUAACCACGAUUAGCUUGUUGGUGAGAUAAAAGCCCACCAAGGCAGUGAUCGUUAUCUGAUCUGAGAGGAUGAUCGGACGCAUCGGGACUGAGACACGGCCCGGACUCC
Molecule: ribosomal RNA, 309 nt
Filed under: uncultured Rickettsiales bacterium
Lineage: Bacteria; Pseudomonadati; Pseudomonadota; Alphaproteobacteria; Rickettsiales
Description: bacterial SSU rRNA
Rfam family: Bacterial small subunit ribosomal RNA
Source: RNAcentral